This 382-nucleotide ribosomal RNA is filed under the name uncultured bacterium. Its description in RNAcentral is "bacterial SSU rRNA". It matches the Rfam family "Bacterial small subunit ribosomal RNA", at positions 30 to 412 of the family's 1533-position model. The record is from RNAcentral.
CGAACGCUGGCGGCGUGCUUAACACAUGCAAGUCGAGCGGUAAGGCCCUUUCGGGGGUACACGAGCGGCGAACGGGUGAGUAACACGUGGGUGACCUGCCCUCAGCUCUGGGAUAAGCCUGGGAAACUGGGUCUAAUACUGGAUAUGACUCCACGGUGCAUGUCGUGGGGUGGAAAGCCUUGUGCGGCUGAGGAUGGGCCCGCGGCCUAUCAGCUUGUUGGUGGGGUGAUGGCCACCGAAGGCGACGACGGGUAGCCGGCCUGAGAGGGCGACCGGCCACACUGGGACUGAGACACGGCCCAGACUCCUACGGGAGGCAGCAGGUGGGGAAUCUUGCGCAAUGGGCGAAAGCCUGACGCAGCGACGCCGCGUGAGGGAUGAC